Molecule: non-coding RNA, 900 nt
Organism: Salmo salar (Atlantic salmon)
Lineage: Eukaryota; Metazoa; Chordata; Actinopteri; Salmoniformes; Salmonidae
Source: RefSeq, a predicted model, not a curated record
GCCUUAUUACGUUAUAAUAGUUUCUGCACUUCGUGUUACGUCGUUUCUACUGUAGCAUAAUAUUUUUGUGUAUAUUCCUGAUACCCGCGCACACGCGAGGUAACGUUACUCAUUUUAUAACCUUUAUGGUGUUAUAUUCAAUCGUGCUUAGGUAGCUAGCUACAUUCUUCUAUUAGCUCUGGAAAACAAUGCUAAUGCGUCAGAGAAGUAUUAGCAUGUAUUGCAUUUUGAAGCUACCCUGGCCUUAUGACUCCCAAGUGGCGCAGCUGUCUAAGGCACAGCGUCUAAGUGCUACAGGCGUCACUACAAACACCCAGGCUCAAAUCCAAUCUGCAUUUCUAUCAAACUCCAAGGCAUAGCGAUUGGUAUCUACUAUGUCUCCCAGCGGCUCCUCUGUCAGAAACAACUUGAAGCACUCUGCCUCAGAUGGAAAUGGGGAGGGGCGUUGCACUCCAGACUGGGACUCAUCAAAGCAAAUGGCAGGACUAGGAGGGGUAAAAUGGCUGGCAGCCUUCCAGCUACCACAGAACUCCUGUACUUCAUCCAUUGUCGGUCUGCCUCCAUCACCACCAGCAUCUUCAAAUGGAACUGGGACUUUGUCAGUGGACAAGGGGGUCCUCAGAUUGAGGGUUCUCAAUGGCGGUGGGGCAGCUUCUCACUGUCACUGUCAGAAUCUGAUUCCUGACUUUCAUACUCAGACUCAUUGUCAGAAUUUAAAAAAAUAUCCAGAAUUUCCGCGUUUGUGAGUUGUCUCCUUUUUGAAAGACAUUGCUAAUGCUACAGCUUAGCUCACUAGCUACAUACAUAAACAACACUGAAUGGCUCAGAGUGGGAGUGAGAGGUUAUGUGAUUGACUGCCGGCACGCACCAUUUAUAUCAAUAAAUCACUAUCAGAAAAUG